AGUGAACGCUGGCGGUAGGCCUAACACAUGCAAGUCGAACGGCAGCACAGUAAGAGCUUGCUCUUACGGGUGGCGAGUGGCGGACGGGUGAGGAAUACAUCGGAAUCUACUUUUUCGUGGGGGCUAACGUAGGGAAACUUACGCUAAUACCGCAUACGACCUACGGGUGAAAGCAGGGGAUCUUCGGACCUUGCGCGAUUGAAUGAGCCGAUGUCGGAUUAGCUAGUUGGCGGGGUAAAGGCCCACCAAGGCGACGAUCCGUAGCUGGUCUGAGAGGAUGAUCAGCCACACUGGAACUGAGACACGGUCCAGACUCCUAAGGGAGGAAGCAGUGGGGAAUAUUGGACAAUGGGGGCAAGCCUGAUCCAGCCAUACCGCGUGGGUGAAGAAGGACUUCGGGUUGUAAAGCCAUUUUGUUGGGAAAGAAAAGCAGCAGGUUAAUACCCCGCUGUUCUGACGGUACCCAAAGAAUAAGCACCGGCUAACUUCGUG
This 492-nucleotide ribosomal RNA is filed under the name uncultured bacterium. RNAcentral's name for it is "partial 16S ribosomal RNA". It matches the Rfam family "Bacterial small subunit ribosomal RNA", at positions 29 to 507 of the family's 1533-position model. The record is from RNAcentral.